CCUCUUCACCGGAUAGGGCCGUACUAAGUAAGCGGGCCGGGGAGUGAGGCUCGAAAGAGCGAGAGGAGAAGGAGAUGCUUUCCUUGGAAUCCAGACUCCGGGAUAAAGGAAGGAAGGCUAGACCGUUCCUGAGCAUGCAAAGAGUUUCUUUUAAAGGCAACUGAAUAAGCUACGCGUCUGCUUGAAACCCAACUGAAAUGAGUCCAAAUCAUCUGCCUUCUCCACAAUCCUCUGGAGCUGAAGUCCAACCACUUUCUCUACCACCUUCCCUAAAAAGAUAGGUUGGAGAUUGGAACAUUGUUUGCCCAUGACUUUAUCCAAAGAUUUGUUUUUCUGCAGCAAAUUUCUAGCUCGGUUAGAUGCUUUUUAAUCAUUAUUACUGCGGAUAAAAAAUAAACUCAUAUUCACAUAGAAGAUCUGUCUAUAUAAAAAUCAAAGAGCGCAUAUAGAUUGAUGACCCAGAGUUUAAAUUUUAGAGUUCUCCUCCCAUCUUUCAGAGUCAAUGGAUAUCUGGUCAUUCUGUUCAAGCCCAAGGAAGCAGCUGCCUUAUACUGAAGUGAAAAUUGUCUUAGGUUAGUUCAUGUUUGUGUGUAUUUUAUUCUGGCUUGUUGAAAUGAGUAGAGUAUUUGAUUUUAAAAUGAUUGAGCUUAUAUUGCGGCUUAUACUAAUGUUAUGUAUUUCCAGCCUCGAAACAUUGCUGCUUUCAAAGAGGGUGCCAAGUGUUGUAAAAAGUAGCUCAAAGGCACAAUCCAAGAUAUGAAGAGACCACAUUUAUUGAUUAUACUAGAAGAACUCUGAAAACUGGAGUUUAGAAGGCAACUAAAAGACAAAAUCUUACACAAGGAAAAGGGAAAUAUUGGCCAAAGAGUAGUUUUAAAUUAAUUAUUUAUUGGUUUAGCAAAAUUACAUUAUCUUUGCUUUUAUACCAGGUAUUUUAAUUAAAGAUCUUACGAGUAUGGUCUUAUUUAAGGUUUGCUACCAACUCACAUCUCUUGAAUUAAAGUAAAACUAGACAGUUUAAGGAAUAGGUUCCAAUGCAUUGAUAAGAGGGUAAGAAAUCUGUAUAUGCAGGCUUCCGCAGUUUGCGAGCUGUCUCAAUUUAAAAGUGACUCCCCUUUCAGGAUUCACUAAACCUAAUCCUAGCCCUACAUCUCACUUAGUAGUAACUAAAAACUAGAACUAGUUAACAUAGCUACUAAUUAAUCCUCAAGAAGGAUUGGACCAUGAAUGAACAGAUCACCAGUUUACCAAAAAACAUGUUGAUGUGGCUACAGAAACAGCACAGAGAGUUAACCUUGUCUUUGCAGGUACAAGAAAGUGAAGUACAUACCAUAUUGGG
Molecule: long non-coding RNA, 1339 nt
Organism: Pantherophis guttatus
Lineage: Eukaryota; Metazoa; Chordata; Lepidosauria; Squamata; Colubridae
Source: RefSeq, a predicted model, not a curated record